UGUUAGACUGGAUAUUGAAAGUUAAUGAGGCUGCAGCUAGAAUAAGUCACGUGUGAGACUGUGGAUGAAGCACAGAUGGCCGAGGAGGAUCACAAACAGCUUUCCUGUUGGAUGGAAGGUUAGGGAGCCAGCAGUGAAGUUCAGCCAGGACCUAGGUAAAGUGCUCAUUGGUUGGCUACCAGAAGAACUGUUCCACCUUUUAUGGAAAAGACAGGCAUCUUAAUUCUGAGGUUCUAAACAGCUUUUCUGCCCAUGGCCUGGAAACAGGGAACAGACAUUAGGAAGAUGUCUGUAGUUCCUCACUGCAUGGAAGAACAGAGACUCUUAAUCUUUUUCUACAAUCCAUCUAUGGCAGCAUUAAAUAUCUGCCAGGCUGUAGGGACCUCUGCACAGCACAGCAGAGAGAGAACCAGCCUGAGCUAGUCCAAAGAUCUGUUUGCUCCAGCAUCCUGUCUCUGAUGGUGAUAAAAUGACAGAGAACAAGAGCAGAACCAGCUCAACCUUCAAACAGUUUACAAGCAGCAACACUGAAUACAGGAGGAUGAUCACAUCUUUUAACUGGCUGGUCACGCUGUGUUUGGACUCUGGGCUGCCAGGGCACACUGCUGACUCAAACUGAGCCUGCUGCUGACCAGCACUCCCAGGUCCCUUUAUGUACAGCUGCUUUCCAGUCACUCCUCUCCCACUUUAUACUUAUGGCUGGCAUUACUCUGUCCUAGGUGUAGAAUCUGGCAUUUGGACUUGUUAAAUUUCAUUCCAUGAAUUGUUGCCCUAUGCUACAAUCUGUCUAGAUCCCUCUGCAAGCUGGUCAAGAGGUGAUUAUCCCACUGUAUUCAGCAUUGGUGUGGCCUCAUUUUGAGUACUGUGUGUGAUUCUGAGCCCCACAAUUUGGAAAAGGAUGUGAAGGUCCCUGAAUCCAGAGGAGUGCAACAUAGCUGGUGAAAGGGCUGGAAGGUGUGUCCUGUGAGGAGCAACUGGGAAUUUUGGUCUUGUUUGGUUUGGAGAAAAGGAGGCUGAGGGGCAACCUCAUUGCGCUCUGCAGCAAUAUGAGGAGGAAAAGUGGAGAGAGAGAUGCUGAGCUCUUCUCCUUGGGAUCCAGUUGCAGGGUGGAUUGGAAUGGUUCGAAGCUCUGCCAAGGAAGGUUUGGACAGAAAGCAUUUCUCUACUGUCAGGGUGGUCAAACACUGGAACAGGCUUCCUGGAGAGGUGAUGGAUGCCCCAAGCCUGUCAGUGUUUAAGAGGCGUUUGGAGUGCCUUUAAUAAUAUGCUUUAACUUCUAGUCGGUCCUGAAGUGGUCAGGCAGUUGGACUAGAUGAUUAUUCAUUAGGUCCCUUCUAGAGUAGAAACAGUCUACUCUAUUCUAGUCUUGUUGGUCUAGUCUAACAUUUUUAGCUUAGGGAUUAUAUGCAUUUAUACUGUCUCAGUGGAUUUGCGCAUGAACUUACCCAGUCAUUUUUUCACAUUUGUUGUAAAAUUUUAACAUAUAACACAUAUGAUAGUACAUUCUAUAUUUUAACUAUGUGCUGUUGGGAAUAAUCAGACCCUUCUGCCUAUUCUAAACUAGGCAACUGUCAGCUUUACUGAAGGCCUGCAGCCCUCACAUUGAGAGGAGCAGAGAGCAAUCAAUUCCUCUCUAUCUAUUCCUAUCAUUAUACACAGAUCUUACAGACCUCUGUUGCAUCCUAAUUUGUUGCAGGUUUUUUUUUGUUUUUCUUUUAGAAACCAUUGCAUAUUUUAAAUCAUUAUCUCUGUCCUUCUCUGAACCAUCUCUGGAAGGAAAAGGAAGGCCAAUGUUUUAUAUGGUGUUCAACCAUGAUCCUGCAAAAUUUGAGAAUGAUAGUAUCCAUGUUGCUAUUUAAUCCUCUCCUAGUAAUACCUAGCAUUCAUUUGCUUUUCUGACCACUACUGAGCACUGAGUUGGUAGUAAUCUUAACAGCACAUUCUGAUGGCUGGAAACCCAUUGUUCUACGUGUGAAUAUAGGGAUGUUUUCCCCAUGUUGCUGUAACUGUCAUAAAGAUACUUCGUUUCUCAGCAACUUCAUGAGAAAGCUCAGAUGUUGUUGCUUUUGUUUCAAGGGCUGAAAGUCAACUGUAGGAGAAAAUCAGAGUGGAAUCCUUAAGGGCACAAGAACUGAGUUUAAGCUGGUUUUAUAUUCUAUAAUCUCCAAGGGAUGUCAUAUUAUAAGGUCUGUAUUUUCCAUUUGUUUUUUCCUCUUUCAAAACUCUAAACUUUUGUUAUGCAUCUGUGACACUAAAUGCUGCCUAUGGGCAGCUGUCAAUCUUUUGCUGCAUGUUUGUGCAUUAAAUUUUACGUACUGUUAGACAUGAAAUGGUGUCAUUAAGAGUAAGCAGUCUUCCUCUCUAGUGUAUUGGAUACAAGACCAUGAAAAACAAGGAAGGAAAAUGUGUAUUUAAAAGAGACACAGGACUUAGGCUGUGCUAGCAAAACCUCUGCUUGUUGGAAUCCAAAACUCAACUAUCAGCAGCAAAGAAACUAAUAGGAUUAUGUAGCAAGUUGUGGACAGCAGGAGCUGGGAGAAACUCCUUGCUCUGAGGAGCUUCAUCACAAGACCUGUUAAUAUUUAGCUAUGUUUGAUUGUCCUGUCUCUUUCAGCAAGAUAUGAAAGACUUUGUGAUGAUGAUGUCAGACAAUGUAGAAACCCUUUUGUUCUCUUCCCCCCAUGUGGUCCUCGCUUCAGGAGAAUAUUAACCACCUUGUGU
Molecule: long non-coding RNA, 2721 nt
Organism: Neopelma chrysocephalum (saffron-crested tyrant-manakin)
Lineage: Eukaryota; Metazoa; Chordata; Aves; Passeriformes; Pipridae
Exons: 3
Source: RefSeq, a predicted model, not a curated record